Molecule: ribosomal RNA, 253 nt
Filed under: uncultured bacterium
Lineage: Bacteria
Description: partial 16S ribosomal RNA
Rfam family: Bacterial small subunit ribosomal RNA
Source: RNAcentral
UACGUAGGGUGCGAGCGUUGUCCGGAAUUAUUGGGCGUAAAGAGCUUGUAGGCGGUUUGUCGCGUCUGCUGUGAAAACCUAAGGCUCAACCUUGGGCUUGCAGUGGGUACGGGCAGACUAGAGUGCGGUAGGGGUGACUGGAAUUCCUGGUGUAGCGGUGGAAUGCGCAGAUAUCAGGAGGAACACCGAUGGCGAAGGCAGGUCACUGGGCCGCAACUGACGCUGAGGAGCGAAAGCAUGGGGAGCGAACAGG